RNAcentral lists this long non-coding RNA (2113 nucleotides) under Brassica napus (rape). RNAcentral's name for it is "long non-coding RNA (BNAP_LNC007294)". Lineage: Eukaryota; Viridiplantae; Streptophyta; Magnoliopsida; Brassicales; Brassicaceae. The record is from RNAcentral.
AUUAAAUAAAACACAAGUCCUAAUAAACUUGUAAAGAGAAAAUGGCGGGAAAAGUGUGUAUGGUGAUGGCAUUGAUAAUGAUAGGGUGUGUUUUACAAGCAUGCAAUGGAGCCAAUGUUGAUGAGAGCCAACCAACACAAGAUCCAAAAUUCGAUUGCUUCAGAACAUGUUCCAUAGCCUGUGGCAAACAAAACAAACCUUGUUACGAUGAAUGUUUGACCAAAUGUGGUCUCCCACAGAGACUUCCUAGACCAACAACAUCUUCAUCACCUUCCUCCACCGCUUGAUCUGAUCUUAUUCAAUUUGUGAUUUGUGUCUUUAUUGCUAAGGAUGUCAUCUAUUUGUUUUUCUUUAGCAUGAAAAUUAAAUGAGAUUUAUAUGAUAAAGUUUUUGAUUAUAUAUCUGGUUUUAUCUUGACUUAUUCAAACUAGUUAGUACGUUCCAGCAUAAAAUGAUUCAAGACUCGUUAGCUUUCUUUCAAAUAAAACCACUAAAUAAACAAUUUGGAUUAUAUUAAAACGAAACAAUUCAAUUAUCAUGAUACUGUUCCUUCUGUUAAAACACAUGUGAUCACAGAUUCCCAAUUCAAAAGAACAAAAUGGCUGACUCAUUGUUUAGACAGAAGCUAGGUCAAAGACUUGGUUCGGUUGGUUUCUUCUUGAAAGGAACUUUGGAUGUGCACAAGACGUUGAAGGUUGUUUGGUUGGUGAAGAUGUUUACAUUGUUCAGUCAAGGCCACAGCCUCUGUAGAAUAUUUUCCUUUUUUUAUGUUUUAUCAAGCGAAUUAUAAUAAAAAUGUCGGAAACAAUUCUGCAUUACGUCACUUCCAUAUGUUAAGUAAGUUUAAUUAUGAUACAUACAGUAUAUAAUUGCUAUUCAUAUCUCUUGCUCACAUAGUGUUUUGGCUAAUUUCAAGAGAUCACCUUGAUUUACUGAAUGGCACAACGAGAAAGAAACAAGGAAAAUAAAAAUCCUACAUGACAUGACCAUCUCGAUCAGGUACUUGCCAUCUAUUUUCGUAGUUUUAACUCUUUUGAAACACUAAAAUCAAACAGACAGAAAUCACGAAUCUAUUCAAGUCAAACUAAACUAAAACAACAAACGCACAUAAAUAACAAAUCUACUAAACAUAGAGGCAAAUACUCAGUAUAUAAACGCCUUCCUCUCCACCACCUAUUUGCACAUCUUAUCAGACUAUCACUACUUGUUACAUCUUAAAGAUAUUUCCAAUUCAUUAAAUUACAAAAAUAAUUGAUUAAAGAAUUAUUAAUGUUUCUAUAUCAAAAGAUCUGAGUUUCAAGUUUCAGAAAAAAAAAUUAUGUUUUUAACGGAGACAAUAUUUACUGUAACAGUUAAGGAUUGCAGUAAAGUCUAAAUGCCCGUAAGACAAGUAAUUGUCCGUUAUAAAAUAAUCGAUGUAGUAUUUUUUUAUAGUUUAUAAUAUUAUAAUUAACCAGGAGAAUACAAAUUCGAUCAUGUACUUGCUAUCUAUUUUCAUAGUUCUAACUUUUUGGCAAUACGAAAAUCCAAUAAUAGUUAGCCAAUCCUAUUUAUGUCAAACUAGACAUAAAUAACAAAACUAUAUUCAAAGUCAAACCAAACAAAAAUAGCAAACAACAAAAACAACCACACACAAAUAUACUAAAUAUAGAAGCAAAAAUUCAGUAUAUAAACGUCUUCCUGUCCAAUCACCUAUUUGCACAUCUCAUAUCUAUCAAUAAUUAAAUAAAACACAAGUCCUAAUAAACUUGUAAAGAGAAAAUGGCGGGAAAAGUGUGUAUGGUGAUGGCAUUGAUAAUGAUAGGGUGUGUUUUACAAGCAUGCAAUGGAGCCAAUGUUGAUGAGAGCCAACCAACACAAGAUCCAAAAUUCGAUUGCUUCAGAACAUGUUCCAUAGCCUGUGGCAAACAAAACAAACCUUGUUACGAUGAAUGUUUGACCAAAUGUGGUCUCCCACAGAGACUUCCUAGACCAACAACAUCUUCAUCACCUUCCUCCACCGCUUGAUCUGAUCUUAUUCAAUUUGUGAUUUGUGUCUUUAUUGCUAAGGAUGUCAUCUAUUUGUUUUUCUUUAGCAUGAAAAUUAAAUGAGAUUUAUAUGAUAAAGUUUUUG